RNAcentral lists this ribosomal RNA (253 nucleotides) under uncultured bacterium. RNAcentral's name for it is "partial 16S ribosomal RNA". It matches the Rfam family "Bacterial small subunit ribosomal RNA", at positions 524 to 776 of the family's 1533-position model. The record is from RNAcentral.
UACGUAGGUGGCAAGCGUUGUCCGGAUUUACUGGGCGUAAAGCGCGUGUAGGCGGCUUGUUAAGUCUGUCGUGAAAUCUCCCGGCUUAACCGGGAUAGGUCGACGGAUACUGGCAGGCUUGAGGGGAGCAGAGGAAGGUGGAAUUCCCGGUGUAGUGGUGAAAUGCGUAGAUAUCGGGAGGAACACCAGUGGCGAAGGCGGCCUUCUGGGCUCAACCUGACGCUGAUACGCGAAAGCGUGGGGAGCGAACAGG